RNAcentral lists this long non-coding RNA (1088 nucleotides) under Mytilus galloprovincialis (Mediterranean mussel). The record is from RNAcentral. Lineage: Eukaryota; Metazoa; Mollusca; Bivalvia; Mytilida; Mytilidae.
GAAUUCCUCAAUCUGCGUCGCGCCCUGCUAGAAAAAAAGAAAAGGCGACAUUAGACAUACACAAAGGCCUUAACAGAAAACAUACCUGCGAAUCUUCAAUCUGCGUCGCGCCCUGCUGGAAAAAAAAAGAAAAGGUGACAUUAGACAUACUCAAAGGCCUUAACAGAAAACAUACCUGAAAAUCCUCAAUCUGCGUCGCGCCCUGCUAAAAAAAAAAAAAAGGCCACACGACCUAAAGGAAUUUCCAAUCUGCGUCAAGACCUGCUAGAAAAAAAGAAAAGCAACAUUAGACAUACACAAAGGUCUUAACAGAAAACAUACCUGGAAUUCCUCAAUCUGCGUCGCGACCUGCUAGAAAAAAAGAAAAGGCGACAUUAGACAUACACAAAGGUCUUAACAGAAAACAUACCUGGAAUCUCUCAAUCUGCGUCGCGCCCUGCUAGAAAAAAAAGAAAAAGACAACAUUAGACAUACACAAAGGUCUUAACAGAAAACAUACCUGGAAUUCCUCAAUCUGCGUCGCGACCUGCUAGAAAAAAAAGAAAAGGCGACAUUAGACAUACACAAAGGUCUUAACAGAAAACAUACCUGGGAAUCCUCAAUCUGCGUCGCGCCCUGCUAGAAAAAAAGAAAAGGCGAAAUUAGACAUACACAAAGGUCUUAACGGAAAACAUACCUGGGAAUCCUCAAUCUGCGUCGCACCCUGCUAGAAAAAAAGAAAAGGCGAAAUUAGACAUACACAAAGGUCUUAACAGAAAACAUACCUGAAAAUCCUCAAUCUGCGUCGCCCCCUGCUAGAAAAAAAGAAAAGGCGACAUUAGACAUACACAAAGGUCUUAACAGAAAACAUACCUGAAUUCCUCAAUCUGCGUCGCGCCCUGCUGAGAAAAAAAAGAAAAGGUGACAUUAGACAUACUCAAAGGCCUUAACAGAAAACAUACCUGCGAAUCUGCAAUCUGCGUCGCGCCCUGCUAGAAAAAAAGAAAAGACAACAUUAGACAUACACAAAGGUCUUAACAGAAAACAUACCUGAAAAUCCUUAAUCUGCGUCGGGCCCUGCAAAAAAAAAGAAAGCCACACGACCUAAA